ACCCACGCGGCGCAGCUCCCAAAGUUGCAGACAGCCCGGCGAACCGCGCAAUGCGCUUCUUCUGCCUGCAGCAGAGAAAAGGAAAGAAAACUCCGCAGGGGCUCCGUUGGCUUCUCCACGAGUGACAACCAUGUUUUCCCAGAUAGAAGACCGGAGCCCUGCUCCUUUGCGAUCCGCCGAGGGCUGCAGAGAGCAUCCUCAUCCAUUUGGGCACCCCUGCCCAGGAAGAGCCCGGCCAUCCCUUUCCGGACUGGAUCCUUAAGAGGUGAAUUUUCUUCCGUGGAUUCCGAUUUGCUCCGUCUGACCAGCCUAGGCAAUCCAGCAUCGCGUGGUACCAGUGCCGCUGGGCACACUGGCUUCACGCCGGCUCCGCCUCACCAGCAAGCGCAUUCCCAGGUGGUCAGGCUCAGGAUGGACCAUGAGCUUUCAAAAAGGAAAAAGGUGGAAAUCCUCAACUAUGCUGCCAUCUGAAUAAGUGUUUCUUUGUAGAUGCACAGAGUCAAGGAAAAUUACAUCCCUGCAUUAUGUAAUGUACCAACAACGCACUUACCCACUGUUUUAAUCUAGGUUAUUCUUGAAAGCAGAGCCUGAGACAAAGGUAGACACAUUCUAUUUAUGAGUCUAACACCCAGGAGCAGGAAUGAGAGAUAGGGGAGUGAACUGGGGAAAAGGGAAACUAAGUCCGAGCAAAACCAGAUACUGCUCUUAUCAAGUGGUCCACCCCUAUUAAUGGCUACAUAAUGCAGAACUUUCUCAGGAUUCUUCUUAAACUUUAUCUCAGAACUGUCUGCCUCAGGGAGAAAGGAGAAGUAUUUCUCCAUCAGCAGCCACCUCCUGUGUGUUGAGGGCUGCUCCUUUGGGGCAUUAACCCACUGCCUCCACCACCCCAACCCUCUGGGCUGCAAAGAGCUAGCUGACAGUCCAGCUGGUACCUUAGCAUCACACAUUGCUGCAUCAGAGAGGUCUUAAGACAGGAAGCUAGAGUCUUGGUGCAUGCUCGAAGUGAGACGGUGUCAGCACAGAGCAGGGUAAAAUCUUCCCGUUAACUCUUCACCAGAGCUAUGACUGGAAUCAGAGGUUGAAAAGAUGUGAGACUGUACCCAAGAAGCAUCUUAUAAGCCUACGUAAUAUACUGUUAGACUCAUCGAAAUCUAUUUCCUCCCUUCUUUAUAAUCAAAACUUCAGUGUCCAGAAUAAAGUUGGCAGAAGGGUUAAAUUGGAAAGUUAAAUGUACUAGAAGGUGUACAUUUAUAAGUUUUGACCUUGAGUCGUGUUCAAGGAGAAAGUGACAUUGGAACUUGGAAAAUUUAAAAAUGAUUCUACUUGAAAAAUUUGACCAUUGCAUAGAAAUAUUAGCUAUCGUCUAAUCUUUUGUAAUCUUAGAAACAAUCGUGAAUUGUUUGGUGAAAAAUGAAAAAAUAACCAUUUCUUAUGUCUCCGUGACCUUUAUAGACCAAUGUCACCAACUUUUCCUAAGGUAAUUGUUUCCUACUGUCAAAUAGCUCUAGUGAUAUAAAUCUUAACAAUCAAUGAAGGGAAAACUGGUGGAAACAUAGGAGGAAAAAUACUGGGAUAAUUUUCAUCACAAAGUAUUGGCAUUAACAUUGGUUAGAAUAGGGGAGAAACUGCAUGACUUGACAACUGGACAUUCCUGUAUGUUGUAUGAGGCCCUGUCUUAACAGAAAUAGUGAUGUCAUCAUCAUCCUCUCUUAUUUGGUCUUGAAUUGCCACCAAUCGGAUAAAACCUUUGAAUUAUUUAACUCAAUAUAUGUUAAGUUUCUACUAUGUGCUGUGUAUUGGUACUAUAAAUAUGAAUAAGACAUAAGAUAUUACAUUCAAAAACAUCAGAAUACAUGUUCUUUUAAAGUAUACCCCAAAACAUUUACCAUGUGUUCUGGGGCGCAUGUUAGGCUGGAUCACAAAUCAAGUCUCAAGAAUUUCAAAAGAUUGAAAUCAUAUAGAGUAUGAAUUAAACCAGAAAUCAAGUACAUAAAGGUAACAAAAAAUUUCCAAAAUGCAUUAAUUUAAGGAACAUACACCUCAUGACCCAUGAGCCAAAAAAUAAAUCACGGCAAAAUUGCAAAAAUAUUUUGAAAUGAAUUUUAAAGAAAAUACUUAGCAUAUUAAAUACUUAGCAUAUUAAAGCUCUAAGUACAUAUGUUAGAAAUUUUACCGAAAGGUUGGCUAUCAGUGUUUCCAGAAGCCAGGGAAAAAGUUUAUACAAUUUGAUCGCUGAGGCAGGGAAACAAAGUGAGACCUCCGAUCGCCCUGCCUUUCUGAGGUGAGCACUCUGGAUCCCAUCGCAGGAGAUCAGAGUCUUGCUGAGUUGAGGAGAGGAAGAUUGGAGUUGAUACUGAGAUAGCUUGAAUUUUCAGGACAAAGUAUCAACAAGGAGGAAGGUAGACAAAAAAAUCCAGAAAUCUAUGUAGAGACCCCAUUGUGUACAUUGCGGAACACUAAGCCUAACAAUUCUCAAAAUUAGCGUGAGAUUGGGAAAUAUCUAAUUUCCAUCCAGCCACAGUGGAGAGUCCUGACUGAAAACCAGGCAUUCGCUAAAGAUCCCAGAAAGGUUGUGUGUUACAUACGUAGGGCUAAACUAUCCUGACUAAAAACUACACUACACUUGCUCCUCACCCCCACAAAAAGCUUAAAAACAAGCCUCAAUAGUAUAAAGCUGAUCUGUAAGUAACUAAACUACCUGCAGAACAAAGUCCAAAUUUAUUAGUUCCAGUACUCCAAAAAAAACACAUGUAAAAAAAAAAUAGAUUUACAAGACAUUUAUUUGGGGAAAAAAAGAAUGCCUGAGGGUUGAAAUGGAGAGGAAGCCAGAGAGACAGAGUCCUCAGAAUACAUAAAAUUUCUGGCCUCCAUGGAGGUGUGAUGGUUAAUUUUAUGCAUGUCAACUUCGCUGGGCCACAGGAUGCCCCAUAUAUGAUCGAACAUUAUUUCUGGUUGUGUUCAUGAAGCUUUUUCUGGAGGAAAUUCGCAUUUGAAUUGAUGGACUGAAUAAAGCAGAUUGCAGUCCCCAGUGUGGAUGGGCUUGAUCCAGUCUUCUAAGGACCCAAAUAAAAUAGGUGGAGGAAGCUUGAAUUUUCUGCCUGACUGUGGCGCUGGGACACCCAUCUUCUCCUGCCCUUGAACUGGGACUGACACCAUCAGUGCUCCUGGUUCUCAGACCUUCGGACAGCAGACUUGGGGCCUUCUCGGCCUCCAUUAUUGUGUAAGCCAAUUCCUUAUAAUAAAUAAGGGUUUAUUUAUUGAAAAAAAAAAAAAAAAAA
Molecule: long non-coding RNA, 3278 nt
Filed under: Homo sapiens (human)
Lineage: Eukaryota; Metazoa; Chordata; Mammalia; Primates; Hominidae
Description: DPPA2 upstream binding RNA (DUBR)
Source: RNAcentral